Molecule: long non-coding RNA, 284 nt
Organism: Trematomus bernacchii (emerald rockcod)
Lineage: Eukaryota; Metazoa; Chordata; Actinopteri; Perciformes; Nototheniidae
Exons: 3
Source: RefSeq, a predicted model, not a curated record
GAAUCAGAGGGAGGAGCUGUAGACAGAGAGGGAAGUGAAAGUAGGAAGUCAGACUUGUCAGACUGCCAGACGCCAUUUUACAGCUCGACAGGAGGAGAACAACAGGACUGAAGAAGAUGAGUGAUUUAAAAGAUGAGGAAGAGGACAAAUCUUCAGUCUCCAGCGGUCUGUCUCUGAAGAGUGACCGGUCUAUGGGCAUCCUUCCUCCAGUCUUCGGUAAUGAACCUGGACCCUCAGACACAAAACAGAGAGCAGAGUCUACGGUCUCCAUGUGGUCUCUGAAG